RNAcentral lists this long non-coding RNA (2301 nucleotides) under Sus scrofa (pig). RNAcentral's name for it is "lncRNA (ENSSSCG00065042777.1)". The record is from RNAcentral. Lineage: Eukaryota; Metazoa; Chordata; Mammalia; Artiodactyla; Suidae.
AACCUAAACAAUGCCUCACUUUAAUUCUGCAUAACAUUUUUUAGCCUGCUAGAGUCCUGCACACACACUUAAGGCAAGCCUCUUACAUUGAUGCACUGGACUAAGAGACUGUGUUUUGUUUGUCUCUCUCCAAAGCUGUGGAUUGUCUGCAAGACCGCUGAACUCUGAUUAGAGCGGCUUUCCUUCCGAAGCCAGGAGCAUCUGCUUCUGAAAGUGCCCUUUCCUUCCCCUCCCUCCCAGAGUCCCCCCUCUUCAGAAAGUCCCACUUCUACACACCCAGGGCCUGGGAACAGGGAAUAUUCCUGAACUUGAGCUUGUCUUCUCAGAGCCCUGUUGCCAGUUCAGCUCUCUGAAAUGCUGCUUUCCGAUGAGAAAACAGACGGGACUCAGUGCUGCCUGCAAUUUACAUUUCCCUCAAAAGCUCUAUGUUCUUGCAACACUGUUCCCCAAGCCCACGGCAAGUGGCAGCAGGAAAAGAAACAAUAGAGAAGAUAGAACUGAGAACCAGAGAAGUUGAGUGACUACAUCCCACAGCCAGUUGAAGAGCAGUGGCUGGAAGAGACUCACCAUUGCCUGGUAUUUCCAGACCAUUAGGACUCACCAUGUGUCACUAGAGGAGAGAAUGAGAUACCUGAAAUGUACCUUUCAACUUUAGGUGGAAGAAAAAUGAAGUCAAUUUCCACUGCAAAGCAUCACAAGUUGGCUUCUCCAGGAAGCAGAUUCUGAAACAGCAGUGAUCAUUUGUUAGAAAGUGCUUAUAGGAUCAACACCCAUGUGGGGAAAGAAACAGAAGCAGGAUGAGCAGAGAGAAAAGUUUCCAAUCCUGCAGGGAACUCUAAUGCUGGAACAGUCCUUCAGAGCCCUGCCUUGGAUCCAGAGAGCCAGGUUUUUAUACCCCUGUAUUAGCCUAUCAUUGUGUUUGGGCUGCCCCAGGAAAGGAGCAGGUGGCUCUUUAGAAGAUUCCUUUCCCAAAGAUGGCUGACAGCUGAGUGCUGGCAAUCGAACCUCCCCAGCAACUGGGGUAUAAAGCCUUCCCACAGUGGACAAGAUAUCUGAGCAGUGCAGCCCACGGUCAGGACUGAAGUCCCAUCACUUCUCACAACUUCCACUGCAACCAUCUCCAUCAAGCCAACACUGGGUCAUUCCUGGACUAUUGCAAUAGCACCCUGGAUGGCUUCCUUACUUCAGGUUUUGCCUGCAUACACCACAUCAGCCACAUCACAGAAGGAGUCCGCUUCUUAAAAACGCCAAGGAUAGAACCCAAGCUGCAGCUGCAACCUGCUACAACAACACCAGAUUGUUAACCUGCUCUGCCUCAAGGGAACUUCCAGGGAAGUCUCUUUUUAAAAAAAAAAAAAAAAGAGAUUUGUCCCAAAUUCUUUUUAUCACAUUCGAUAGAUUUCUCUCCACUUUUCAAGUGAUUGUGUUACAAUCUGUGACAGUUUUCCCUUCUGAUUCGUGAAAUACACUUCCAUCAUGGAACACCUGCUAGUCUGAUAGAAUCAAUCUUCUAACAUGCCUAAUAUUCUUACUCCCAGAAGGUUCUAUGUUGACACCAAAAUUAUAUUUAUACUUUAUAAGAAAUUAAAGGAGUUCUCAUUGUGACUCAACAGUAACGAAUCUGACCAGAAUCCAUGGAUGUGGGUUUGAUCCCUGGCCUAGCUCAGUGGGUUAAGGAUCUGGCGUUACUGGGACCCCUAGCCUGGGAACCUCCAUCUGCCAUUUGUGUGGCCAUAAAAAACAAAAACAAAAACAAAUAAAAAAAAUUACCCCCCCAUAUAAAAUUGGUGUUCAUUAAAAAAAAAUUUAAAAUAUUCACUUUUCCUCUAUACUUGCAGAUAGAUUCUGUCAACAUCAUGGAGUAAGUAUCUCUUAGUUAAAAACAAAAUAUAAGCAAACAUUUUAAAGAAAUUUGCAAUCACAUAAGAGAGCUUCAGAUAAAGCUUACUGUCUUAAAACAGGAUUGUUAAAGUUGUACAUUAGGUAUGCAAAAAAGUGAUUUUAGUUUUUCUACUCUAACUUGGUUAGAAUACUGCUUUCAUCUGUCUCACAGUUUAUGAAAGGAGUUCCUUCUAUGGCACGAUGGGUUAAGAAUCUGAUGGCAGCAGCUCAGGUCACUACAGAGGUAUGGGUUCAAUCCCAACCUGGCACAGUGUGUUAAAAGAUUUGGCAUUGCUACAGCUGAGGUGUAGAUCACAGCUGAGCUCAGAUUCUGAUCCUGGCCUGUGAAUAUUUUCACAUACCAUGGGUGUGGACAUAAAAAUAAAUAAAUAAAUAAAAACAAAGUUUGUGAGACUCGUA